RNAcentral lists this ribosomal RNA (497 nucleotides) under uncultured bacterium. Its description in RNAcentral is "partial 16S ribosomal RNA". It matches the Rfam family "Bacterial small subunit ribosomal RNA", at positions 28 to 507 of the family's 1533-position model. The record is from RNAcentral.
GAUGAACGCUGGCGGCGUGCCUAAUACAUGCAAGUCGAGCGAACAGACGAGGAGCUUGCUCCUCUGACGUUAGCGGCGGACGGGUGAGUAACACGUGGAUAACCUACCUAUAAGACUGGGAUAACUUCGGGAACCCGGAGCUACUACCGGCUAAUAUAUUGAACCGCAUGGUUCAAUAGUGACAGCCGGUUUUGCUGUCACUUAUAGCUGGAUCCGCGCCGCAUUAGCUAGUUGGUAAGGUAACGGCUUACCAAGGCAACGAUGCGUAGCCGACCUGAGAGGGUGAUCGGCCACACUGGAACUGAGACACGGUCCAGACUCCUACGGGAGGCAGCAGUAGGGAAUCUUCCGCAAUGGGCGAAAGCCUGACGGAGCAACGCCGCGUGAGUGAUGAAGGUCUUCGGAUCGUAAAACUCUGUUAUUAGGGAAGAACAAAUGUGUAAGUAACUAUGCACGUCUUGACGGUACCUAAACAGAAAGCACCGGCUAACUACGUG